AUAAUCCGAGCAAAUGUUCACGGUCGGAUCCAGGAGGAAGAGGAGAAGAAGGGGGGCGCGGGAUGCUAUAGCAUUUAAGGAAAAGGAAAAGAGUUGCAGUUACAAUACUGUAUAAUUCGAGUGAAGUGUGUGGAGGAUCGGGCAGUGAGCGGCUGCAGCAGAUUAUGGCAUCUGCCACAGAGGAUUUGAAAAUGGAGAAUCAGUAUUCACCAGAUCCUGAAAGCAGCAAGGUUCCACAUGGAGUCCAGGCUGAUGUGUCACCGGAUGCAAAAUGCCCCAUCUGUCUAGACAGAUUUGACAACAUGUCCUACAUUGACCGCUGCUUCCAUAAAUUCUGCUUCCGCUGCAUUCAGGAAUGGUCACGAAACAAAGCUGAAUGUCCCCUGUGCAAACAGCCUUUUAACUCCAUUUUCCACAGUGUGCGGACUGAAAAUGAUUUUCAGGAGUAUGUACUGAAGGCAACAGAGAAUGGUUCAUUUGCCAGUCCGGGUGGGCAGAGGUUUAGGUACCGAACAACACUCACCCGAGAACGUCGUACCACCCAUCAAACUCGAAGGUCCCCUGUUCUUCCUGAAUUGCCCGACAACGGAGUGGUAUUUGAAGGACUUGGGAGGCAGGCCCGGAUGUAUCAGGGACACAGUUUGCGUCGAAUGAUGUUGCGAAUGGGCGCCCGGAGGAGAGCACAGUCUGAGGGAAGAUCUACACGCCAGGUCCAAGAACAAGAGAUGAUCCGUUUUAGACGGGAGUUGUACCGUUCAGGCUUGAGGGUGAGGAAUGUCCAGGAUGGAGGUCGGUAUCGCGACAUUUCUGCAGAAUUUUUCCGCCGCAAUGCAGCCUGUCUUCAUCGGUUAAUGCCGUGGUUAAAACGGGAGCUCUGUGUCUUAUUUGGCUCCCAUGGCUCUGUUGUCAACAUUGUGCAACACAUCAUCAUGUCUAACAUUGUUCGAUAUGACAUGGAAAGUGAAGCAUUUCAGGAAGAACUCCGUCCUUUUUUACUCAGCCGCACAGAUCAUUUCUUGCAUGAGUUCAUAAGCUUUGCACGGGCACCAUUCAAUAUGGAAUCGUAUGAUCAGAGGGCCAACUAUGACUGCCCAGCUCCAUCCUAUGAGGAAGAAAGUGACUCUGAUUUGUCUGUUAUCACAAUUUCCCCUGACACUGCUCAGGUUCAGGAAGAAGAUAGACCCAAUCCCAAUCCUUCAGAGUUAGCACUUGGCUUAAGUCAGGCGACAUGGGAUGAUGAAACACCGGGCCCUUCUUAUUCAGUGCCAGAGACAGUGGAGUCGGCUAACUCCUCGCCUGGUGAAACCUCUGUUGUUUCUGAAGAUACACCACCACAGCCUGGAUCAUCACUGCUUACAGCAUCAAUAAAAACUGAUCCAGGCACAAAUGAAGAGGGGUCGGUCCGUUCCACUGAUGACUGCCAAAUAGUUGGUUAUGUAAAGCCUUUAGCUGAAAGAACUCCUGAACUUAUCGAACUAAGUUCAGACUCUGAUGCUUCCAUUCAAGCCACAAGCACUGAGGCUGCUGAACAGCCUCUACAUAUACAGUUCCACAGCACCAGCAGUUUGUCUUCAUCAACUAGAUCAUCGUCAGCUAGAUCAUCUGCGUCCAGGGAGCGACUGAAAAGAAAAAGAUUGAGACAGAAAAAGAGCAACAAAUCGAAAAGAGAUAAGCACCAGAGUCGUAAGAAGAGUUCCCGCUGUAGGGGCAGUGUAUCACAUUCAAUCAGGCAUGGAGAAAGGACAUCAAGCAGAGUUCGAGGCAGUUCGAAAGAUCAACCCAGAAUACGAUCACAUAGUAGGGAUAAGCAUGAUCUUAGGAGGCAUGAGCAAUCAAGCACAAGGGAUAGAACCAUGGUGACUUACUCUUAUAGCAGAAGUGAACGUCGAGCUAAAGACCGGAAUAGAAAAGCUGGCCGAGACAAAUCUUCUUCAGGGGAGAGGGACAGAUCAGGCAGCAGAGAAACCAGUGCUCAUCAAACCCAAGACAGAAGGCGAUCAAGGAACCGAGAGAGAACGUCUUUCACUAGAAGUCGGACGAGGUCACAGAACAGUGACUGUGUUGUUUACAGGCACAGAGCUAGGUCACGUUCUUGGAGCAGAAGUUAUCCUGAUCUGAGAGACAGAAAGAGGUCUAGAAGUCGGGAGAGGACGUACAGCUACAUGAGGGAAUACCAAGAAAGAAACAGGGGUUUUUCAUAUCAGUGGGAAAAAUAUAGUUAUCACAGCAGAACUAAUGAUGGCCAUGAGUCUGCAACUCGAACUAGGAUUCAUCACAGGAGAGGGUCACCGUCUUCAGAAUAUAGAAUUCGAUCCAGUUCCGAAAGUACAAGCUUCAGAAGCCCAAGCAGCCAUAGGGAUGAUGUCUAUUACCAAUACAAAAGUUAUCGAUCAAGAAGCCCAUCUAGUACCCGAUCUAGAACUACUUCUGGUAGGACUGAUAAGAUGAGGCAAGAGAAACCUGGAGGCAAACGAAAAUAUAAGACUCAUUAUUUGGAAAGUUUCUCCAGCAAAGAAAGCAAAAAUACAAGUUUGCAAGUUGCUAAUUUAUCAUCAGAAAUUCAUGUGUUGCCCAGACAAGAGGGUAGCUCCCCUGGCCCUCUUUCACAGUGUAGCAGUAACUCACCAAAGAGUGGUUCAGUGUUACUUGAGAGUACACUGGGCAGUGAACCAAAAUUCAAAAAGCAUAAGGAGAAGAAAAGAAGCUCAAGUGUGGAAAUUGUGUAUGAGGGAAAGGUAACAGAUACAAGUCGGCACCAUAAGAGGAAAAAGAAACACAAAAAGAAACAGAAAAGGGAAAAGAGCAGUGAACAGGCUGAUACCAGACGUCAUUCACCCCUUGUCAUAACCAUUGAAAGUGAUAGUGAUGUAAUUGUUACAAGUAUGGAAGAUGGUAAUAGCACUGCAGUCACACCUGCUAACCUUCUUACAGAAACCAAUUUUGAACUUGAUGAAAAAUGUAUUCUUAGGACAGCGGAAUCUCCUGACACAACUCCGAAUAUUUUCUUGAGGCACACGAGCAUUGACUCUUUGGAUGUGUGCAGAGUCUCUGCAGAGUCUGAUCAUAGUCCACCAAAUCCACAUGAACAGACUUGCCGUAACCCAGAAGAUGUCAGUCCAGUGACUGAUACUGACAGUCAUCAGAAUUUCAAAGGGGAAGAACAAGGCCACAGACAACAUUGCUCUUCACCAAGUAGGACCCUUCCUAAAAACUCUUCAGACAGGCCACCUUUGAUACUGAAAAUUCCAAAGAGAUUCAUUAAUGGCACCGACUUGUUUAACUGUCCAACAGAAAAUGCUUGAAAAGUGUUUCUCAGCUCCAAGUUGGUUUGAGAAACUCUUGUGCGCCAUUCCCUAAACUUCUGCCCCCACCCCCACCCAAUGACCAGUACCACUUCCCAUCCACCCAGGGAAUUUUAUUAGAUUCUUACUGAAGCACCAAGAGGAUUACUAAGUGUGUGGUCAUCAAGCUGGCAUCAUAUGUACAAAUGUUUUUUUUAAGAAGUACUUUGUGACAAGACUAGUAACAGUGGACAGAUUAACCAUGUGUGCAGAUGCUGCUUAACAAUGACUUUGAAAGUGUUGAUUCCUAUACAGGAUCUAUCCAUUGGAAAUUUUAUAAAUAUGAUGUAUUAAGGUGGGAUUUGAAAAGUUGUGUGGGUGUGUCUGUUUAAACACAUCGGAGGUUUCUUUUCAUCUGACUUUAUCAUUACCAAAAGUACAGCGCACAGACUCGCAUUUUACUGUUCUAGGUUGUCAUGAAUCGCAUAAUACAUAGAAGGGAAGACUCAGAGAGAUUGAAGAAACUUGCACUUCUGUAAAUAAUUUUACUUGAAUGUUCUAAAACAAUUGCCAAAUAUAUAGAUCAAAACUGGCAAUUGGGUGGGCAAUAAUUUUUUAAAAAAUCAUUUUAUAAGAAUAGGUUUGAACAAAUGUUUAGAAACAUUUUGCUGAAACACAUCCCAACGAGGACUAUUUAUAUGGCAAGUGAAAUACUUUAAUGCAGUUCUAGAUUUAAAGGCCCUUUGCUGCACAAGCAAUUACAAAACAGUGUGGCUGAUAGUUUUGUUCCUUGCCUUCAGGAGCUGGUUUCUCCCAAUUUUUACACAGGAUAUCAAUUUCCAUUAGCUUUCUAUCACCCUGAUUGAGACUUUCAGCAAACUAGAAUGACCUCCUGUGAUAGUAGAAGGAGGACUGUUGGCUUAAGGCAAUCCUAACCUUUUCUACUUCCAGGUCAAAAUUUCACCUUGUUAGGAUAGUGUUUUUCAUACCAUAUUAUCAAUGUCCUGUAAUUUGCAGGAAGUGUAUUUUUAUGUUUGAUAGAUUUUUGAGAGUGUGUUGUGAAUUGUUGUAAAUAAGCUGUUAGAUAAACUUGCCUGCAGCACAGUUAAAAUUUCAGUUUGUCUGUCUUUAUAAAAUAAUCAAUCCCUGUAGGAGGUCCACAAUUAAUGUUCAUCAGACUAAUGAACGCGAUCCCAAACAUGAUUCUAACAUUUAAAGACCUGAAAUACAUACAUUUCCUGAGCUUGGAGCUGCUGCUUUCCAUUCUCAAAUUCUGCUGCAAACUUGUGAAUGGACUCCAGAAUGGAACCCUUUACAUGCAGCCUGGGGUUGCAUUUUUAAGUGAUUGCCUGCAUUUUUCCCUACAUUAUAACAGUGACUGCACUUUUAAAAGUGACUCUCCGAUAGGAAUUGACCUUGCACAUAGAUGGCACAUAUGUGAAUGCUGAAUGGCAGCCUCUGUGCUUAUAACCACUCUAAAAGUACUUUGGCUUUGAAGCACUUUGGGAGUUCUUGGGUCAUGUCAGGUAUUAUUGGAACACAGUUCUUAGUUUCACUCAUAUGUAGAUUCAUCCUCAUAUGUCUGAUGGCACGGUGGCUCAGUGGUUAGCACUGCUACUUCACAGCACCAAGGAACCAGGUUCAAUUCCACCUUCGGGUAGCUGCUUUGUGUGGAGUUUGCACAUUCUCCUCGUGUCUGCAUGGAUUUCCUCCGGGUGCUCUGGUUUUUCUCCUACAGUCUAAUGAUGUGCAGGUUAGAUGGAUUUGCCAUGCUAAAUUGCCUGUAUUGUUCAGGGAUGUGUAGCUUCAGUAGGUUAUUGGGGGAUGGUCUAGGUGGGAUGCUGCAAGGGCCUGUGUGGACUUGUUGGGCCGAAGGCCCUGUUUCCACACUGUAGGUAUUCUAUGAUGGAGAUUAUGAGUAAAAGUCUGCACUUUGGUACUGUAGGAUUACCUAUCCUAAAGUGUUCUAAAUUUCCUUAUAAUGAGAGAAAUAAAAAGGAACACCCCACCACCCCAACCCCAACCUCAGUAUCACCACCACCUGUCCCCAGUCAAGGGACAGGGCAUAUCACUAGAUUUAGUGAGUUGAUUCACCACCAGUUUGUUAAAUUGUCAAACCAGGACUUGAACUCCAGCAAGUCCUGUGCAUUUUUAGUGAGAAAUCGGUGCACUCCGAUACAGGGUGUAGCCAAGGAGGCAGCUAUUGAGAAAGUGAAAAGAAGAGGGAGAUUGAAUAGAUUACACUCAUAAGUGCAGGGCAAUGUAAAAAAAGUUCUUAACCAUUGGGAGUGAUUGUAACAGACAUCAAACACUCUAAUAAUCCUGAUUAAAACUCAAAAUGGACUGGAUGAGGAAAAUGACAGUAGAGUUCUAAGUAAAAAUUAGAAAGAACAUGACAGAGAAGGAAUAAAAAGAUGUGAUGAGAGGUUGAGAUAAGCAAUGGGGAAAGGGGCUCAUGUACAGUAUAAACACUGGAAUAACCCAGCUAAGUCAGCCCAUUUCUCUGGUGGAACUGAAGCACUAGCAUUUUGAAGGAAGAUUAGGACUACAGAAAUGACAUUGAUGGCAUCUGCACCCAAAUCUGAAUACCAUGGAGAAAUCACAUAUGUGAGAUUCACCUCAAAAUGCAGAUAGUGGCUGCAAAAUAAUACUCUCUGAUAUGCUUUUUGUUUUGGAGUUACAUACAAUCUACAGCUCAAACUGAUUUUGUGUUUGUCCUCAACUUGAGUCUCCUCCGACUAUAUAUUUGUCGUCAACAUAACUUUCAAAAUCGUCCUCAUGCUUUUAUCCAAUGUACCUGUAAAUGCACUUUUGUUAUUCAGCUCUGUGAUUCUAUUUACUGGCAUAUUCCACACUCUCACUACUUCCUAACUAAAGCUUCUUUAUUGUACUUAUUGCAUUCAUUGACUAUCUUGUAUUGAUGGAACUUUAGUUUUAACCAUGUGGGAGAUGAUGGCUUAGUGGUAAUGUGACUGGACUGGUAAUCCAGAGCUCCUGCUCAAUAGCCUGGAGACAUAGUUUCAAAUUGAACCAUCACAUCUCAUGGAAUUUAAAUACAUUUAAUAAAUCUGGACUAAUUAAAAACCCAUUUGCCUCACUAAUGGGAAGGAAGUCUGUGGCCUUGUCGCCAAUGCCUACAUCCCAAAAGGAAAUAAAGAAAAGUAGGAGCAUCUUCUCCAAGUCUGCCCUAGCAAAUCCCCUUCAUUGAGCCUUCAUUUUUCUAGAGCAAAAAGAAUUUCAGCCAGUACAGUCUUCCUGAUUUUAUUGCUAUAACCUCCCAAGUUCUUGUAUAAUCCUUGUAAAUAGUAGGGAAUUCACCAAUAAAUAGAUAUAGUCAUGUUUAUCAAUUGUUCACAAUUUACUAUGAAAAGAAUGAAACAGAGCCUACAAGUAAUUUGAAGUCAUUUCAAAACCCAAAAAUACUGGAACCUGAGAGAAAUUGUCUUCAAACUGAAUGUAGCAACCAAGUUCACCUGAAGUGCAGUGAAUCAGUUAAACAUUUGAGGACAAGAAGGUGAGAUAACCAGCUCCACGCCUUGUUAUCUCAGAUUCUUCACCAUCUGCAGUUCCUACUGUCUCUGAGGACAAGAAGGUAACUGGAUUCCAGUCGAGACUAAUCACUGUGUAGAAGAUGGAUAUCAACAUUGUCAGUUUGGAGAAAGGUAGAUAAAGAAAAGAGUGAACUUCAAAGGUGGUGGCAGGGGAUUAAGAACAGGAAAGCUAUAUCUAUACCAUACACCGAAAUACUAAAUGCACUUUUUAGAAACAGAAUACUUUGCGUGUUCCUGCUGCAACUUACAGCCAAUAAAUUAGCUUCGAGAUCCUGUAAACAGUCCAAAAAUAAUGUCCAGACAGUCAUGUUUUGGUGGCAGUGGUUGAAGGUCAAAUGCUGAUUAGGAGAACACCUCUAGAGUCAUACAGCAUGGAAGCAGACCCUUCAGUCCAACCGUAGUCCCAAACUAAACUAGUUCCACCUGCCUGAACUUUGGCUCUUUAACUUUCAAACCUUUCUUAUUCAUGUGCAUAUCUAAAUGUCUUUAAAUAUUGUUACUGUACAUGCAUCCAUCACUUCCUCUAAAAAUUCAUUCUGCACGUGAACCACUGUGUAAAAACAAAAAUUACCCUUCAUGUUUUUUUAAUCUUUCUGCCCUCCCCUUAAAAGUAUGCCCCUUAGUCUUGAAAUCACUCAUCCCAAGGAAAAGACAUCUGCCAUUCAAUCUCCCCUUCCCCCACUGCAUCCCUAAACCAGCCCAGUUCAUCCCCUCCCCCCACUGCACCACACAACCAGCCCAGCUCUUCUCCCCCACCCACUGCAUCCCAAAACCAGUCCAACCUGUCUCUGCCUCCCUAACCGGUUCUUCCUCUCACCCAUCCCUUCCUCCCACCCCAAGCCGCACCCCCAGCUACCUACUAACCUCAUCCCACCUCCUUGACCUGUCCGUCUUCCCUGGACUGACCUAUCCCCUCCCUACCU
Molecule: RNA transcript, 7755 nt
Organism: Stegostoma tigrinum
Lineage: Eukaryota; Metazoa; Chordata; Chondrichthyes; Orectolobiformes; Stegostomatidae
Gene name: E3 ubiquitin-protein ligase Topors-like
Exons: 3
Source: RefSeq, a predicted model, not a curated record